GAUCGAGGAGGACUCACUUCCCAGCCUCUGCCUUCCCCUUCCUCCCUCCCUCCCCUGGGCAGGUCACGACGCUGGUGUCCAGUGCAUUCCUCAUUGUCAAGGUCAUCCUCUCUGAGGUCAGUGGCUCAGGGUCUGGCCAGUCUGGUGGGCAUCAGACCUGAGUGGUAUGCUUCUAGAGAGGAGCAUUUCUCUAAUUUGGGGUGUCUGUCCCUGUUGUCCGGGUUAGGGGGAGAGGGAAUCCUGUCCUUUGGUAUCUAUAAGGAAUCAUCCUUCACCCGCUUCCCUGACUUAGCCCCUUGCAGCUCUAGGAAUCAGAAGGUUCUUUCUCCAGCCUAACCCCAGUUUAUCCUGCUGCAGACUUGAGAGGGUUCCCAAGCAGCUGCUACCAGGAAUGGGGUGUAUGCCAGUUUGACUGGCUAGAGUUGGUAGCCACAGAAGGGGGCUCUGGGUUUGGGGUGACCCCUGCCAUGGAGCUCAGCCCCCUCCCUUCACAGCUGCUCAGCAAAGGGGCAUUUGGCUACCUGCUCCCCAUCGUCUCUUUUGUCCUCGCCUGGUUGGAGACCUGGUUCCUUGACUUCAAAGUCCUACCCCAGGAAGCUGAAGAGGAGCGAUGUGAGUGCUUGCGGGUAGGGGGGUGCAGCGAGGGUUACCCCCAGCCCCAAGAGAGGGGAGUUGCGGGCAUGAGAGUCAGUCUGAAGCAUCUCGCCACCUCUGAGCAGCCUCCAGUAGCCUGAGGGGGAGCUUGGGUGGGGGUACCCCAGGCUGCUAGGGUGUAACUGUCCUUGGUCUGGGACUGAGUCUGCUCCUCCAGGGUAUCUUGCCGCCCAGGUUGCUGUUGCCCGUGGACCCCUGCUGUUCUCCGGUGCUCUGUCCGAGGGACAGUUCUAUUCACCCCCAGAAUCCUUUGCAGGGUCUGACAAUGAAUCAGAUGAAGAAGUUGCUGGAAAGAAAAGUUUCUCUGCUCAGGAGCGGGAGUACAUCCGCCAGGGGAAGGAGGCCACAGCAGUGGUGGACCAGAUCUUGGCCCAGGAAGAGAACUGGAAGUUUGAGAAGAAUAAUGUAAGAAGCCCUCUCCCACCUGACCUUCCCAUGCGUGUUAGGAGUUUCUGUUCUCUUUUCUGAGGCCUGAGGAAGAAACCCAAAGAUUACAUGGGUUGGAGCCAUAUUCCUGCCCCAAGAGAGGGAGCUGGGCCCUCGGGUCGGCAGGAGGCUGGGCUGGAUUGGACGUUUCCCCCGUGCCCCUUGGCCCCCCUUCCCCACACCCCCCAUCUUUACUUCCCUGCUGUUCUGCCCCCUUGGCUCCAGGCUUUGAAGGGGAAGCCAGGCUUCUGCUCUGCAUCCGUUGUUUCGUUUCAUGAUCAAAACAACAUUAUCUACAAAGAUCGUAGAGAGCUUGGAAAACAGAGAGCAACAUGCCCCAGUCCCUCUCUCUGGCCAGUUCUUGUGGCAGCCCCAUUGGCCUGGAGACAUGGUUUUUUGUGGUUGCAGCUGCAGCUGUCCCCCCGUCUUUUAACUCGACAUCAAAAGCCUCUCCUGCCAGUGCCAUAGGUUUGUUAGAGCUACUGUUUUGUAACAGCUGCUCAGGUGUCCCCAAACUCCUGGAGUUUUCCACCCUGAGCUGUUAAAAACCUGCCCUGCCUGUCACCCAUUUCUGUGCCACCAGCCCACCCCCUGCCUCCACUCUCCUCCCUGCCACCUUCUGUCCCUGCCACAGGAAUAUGGGGACACCGUGUACACCAUUGAAGUUCCCUUUCACGGCAAGACGUUUAUCCUGAAGGUGAGUGAGGGGAGCGGGUGUCCUGGAGCCCCAGACAGCACAGGAGGCUCCAGGAAGGUGCCGAGGGGCCCUCUGGUGGGUGCCCCCCACCAAGAGGGAAGGGUUGGUCUGCCCGAGCCCAUCUGGCACCACCCAGCCCUCUGCCGCCCUGUCCCAGACCUUCCUGCCCUGUCCUGCGGAGCUCGUGUACCAGGAGGUGAUCCUGCAGCCCGAGAGGAUGGUGCUGUGGAACAAGACAGUGACUGCCUGCCAGAUCCUGCAGCGAGUGGAAGACAACACCCUCAUCUCCUAUGACGUGUCUGCAGGGGCUGCGGGCGGCGUGGUCUCCCCAAGGGACUUCGUGAAUGUCCGGCGCAUUGAGCGGCGCAGGGACCGAUACUUGUCAUCAGGGAUCGCCACCUCACACAGUGCCAAGCCCCCGACGCACAAAUAUGUCCGGGGAGAGAAUGGCCCUGGGGGCUUCAUCGUGCUCAAGUCGGCCAGUAACCCCCGUGUCUGCACCUUUGUCUGGAUUCUUAAUACAGAUCUCAAGGUGGGGUGCUGGGGGGCUGCCAGGUGGGUUCUGUGGAGUGGAGGGGACCCUGCUGCUGACUUGGUUGCUGCAUGACUUUGGGGGCUCUCUGCCAUGCCUGGGCCUCCCCUUUGUCAGCCUCCUUUCUUACUUGAAAAUUUGGGUCAGGGUCCAGAUGGUCUCUUAGCCCUGGGUUGCUGUAGGGCAUGUGCCCCCCCUUCUUACCUCUGAGUCCUGAGGCCCUGAGGAAGGGUGGCUGGUGGCCAGCCCGGCCCCACCCUGGUCUGUUUGUGUGGCUGGUGCCAAGAGCCAGGCCCAGCAUGUUCUUCCUGCCAGGGGUGAGUGGGAGAGGGCGGCCCAGGCUGGAUUCCAGAGCUGCACCUGCAUUCUGGCCCAGAGCCCCCCUGCUGGUGCCAGCUGCAAGGGGAGACCCUGCUGAGGGCAGGCCAUCAAGUGUGACUUCUGCCUGCCUUCCCCCAGGGCCGCCUGCCCCGGUACCUCAUCCACCAGAGCCUCGCGGCCACCAUGUUUGAAUUUGCCUUUCACCUGCGACAGCGCAUCAGCGAGCUGGGGGCCCGGGCAUGACUGUGCCCCCUCCCACCCUGCAGGCCAGGGUCCUGUCGCCACCACUUCCAGAGCCAGAAAGGGUGCCAGUUGGGCUCGCGCUGCCCACAUGGGACCUGGCCCCAGGCUGUCACCCUCCACCGAGCCACGCAGUGCCUGGAGUUGACUGUCUGAGCAGGCUGUGGGGUGGAGCACUGGACUCCGGGGCCCCACUGGCUGGAGGAAGUGGGGUCUGGCCUGUUGAUGUUUACAUGGUGCCCUGCCUCCUGGAGGAGCAGAUUGCUCUGCCCCGCCUUGCCAGGGCAGGGUCUGGGCUGGGCACCUGACUUGGCUGGGGAGGACCAGGGCCCUGGGCAGGGCAGGGCAGCCUGUCACCCAUGUGAAGAUGAAGGGGCUCUUCAUCUGCCUGCGCUCUCGUCGGUUUUUUUAGGAUUAUUGAAAGAGUCUGGGACCCUUGUUGGGGAGUGGGUGGCAGGUGGGGAUGGGCUGCUGGCCAUGAAUCUCUGCCUCUCCCAGGCUGUCCCACUCCUCCCAGGGCCUCCUGGGGGACCUUUGUAUUAAGCCAAUUAAAAACAUGAAUUAAAAAAAAAAAAAA
This 3447-nucleotide small RNA is filed under the name Pan troglodytes (chimpanzee). Its description in RNAcentral is "retained intron". Lineage: Eukaryota; Metazoa; Chordata; Mammalia; Primates; Hominidae. The record is from RNAcentral.